Molecule: ribosomal RNA, 253 nt
Filed under: uncultured bacterium
Lineage: Bacteria
Description: partial 16S ribosomal RNA
Rfam family: Bacterial small subunit ribosomal RNA
Source: RNAcentral
UACGUAGGUGGCAAGCGUUGUCCGGAUUUACUGGGCGUAAAGAGCGCGCAGGCGGUCGUUCAAGUCGCGUGUGAAAGCCCCCGGCUUAACUGGGGAGGGGCAUUCGAUACUGUCAGGCUCGAAGGCAGGAGAGGGAAGCGGAAUUCCCGGUGUAGUGGUGAAAUGCGUAGAUAUCGGGAGGAACACCAGUGGCGAAGGCGGCUUUCUGGCCUGUUCUUGACGCUGAGGCGCGAAAGCCAGGGGAGCGAACGGG